This 440-nucleotide ribosomal RNA is filed under the name uncultured bacterium. Its description in RNAcentral is "bacterial SSU rRNA". It matches the Rfam family "Bacterial small subunit ribosomal RNA", at positions 338 to 795 of the family's 1533-position model. The record is from RNAcentral.
CCUACGGGGGGCUGCAGUGGGGAAUUUUGCGCAAUGGGGGAAACCCUGACGCAGCAACGCCGCGUGGAGGAUGAAGUCCCUUGGGAUGUAAACUCCUUUCGAUCGGGACGAUUAUGACGGUACCGGAAGAAGAAGCACCGGCUAACUCUGUGCCAGCAGCCGCGGUAAUACAGAGGGUGCAAGCGUUGUUCGGAAUUAUUGGGCGUAAAGGGCGCGUAGGCGGUGCUGUAAGUCUGUAGUGAAAUCUCUGGGCUCAACUCAGAGUCUGCUAUAGAAACUGCAGUGCUAGAGUGUGGGAGAGGUGAGUGGAAUUCCCGGUGUAGCGGUGAAAUGCGUAGAUAUCGGGAGGAGCACCUGUGGCGAAAGCGGCUCACUGGACCACAACUGACGCUGAGGCGCGAAAGCUAGGGGAGCAAACAGGAUUAGAUACCCCAGUAGUC